Molecule: ribosomal RNA, 504 nt
Filed under: uncultured Glomeromycotina
Lineage: Eukaryota; Fungi; Glomeromycota
Description: SSU rRNA
Rfam family: Eukaryotic small subunit ribosomal RNA
Source: RNAcentral
AGCAGCCGCGGUAAUUCCAGCUCCAAUAGCGUAUAUUAAAGUUGUUGCAGUUAAAAAGCUCGUAGUUGAAUUUCAGGCCUGGCUGGACGGUCCGCCCUUCGGGUGAGUACUGUCUGUGGUCGGGUCCUACCUUCUGGCGAAGCGUCAUGGCCUUAACCGGCCGUGGCGGGGAACCAGGACUUUUACUGUGAAAAAAUUAGAGUGUUCAAAGCAGGCAAUCGCUUGGAUACAUUAGCAUGGAAUAAUGGAAUAGGACAAUGGUUCUAUUUGUUGGUUUCUAGGACCGUUGUAAUGAUUAAUAGGGAUAGUUGGGGGCAUUAGUAUUCAAUUGUCAGAGGUGAAAUUCUUGGAUUUAUUGAAGACUAACUACUGCGAAAGCAUUUGCCAAGGAUGUUUUCAUUAAUCAAGAACGAAAGUUAGGGGAUCGAAGACGAUCAGAUACCGUCGUAGUCUUAACCAUAAACUAUGCCGACUAGGAAUCGGGCGAUGCUGACAAAAUGACGC